RNAcentral lists this ribosomal RNA (272 nucleotides) under uncultured Staphylococcus sp. RNAcentral describes it as "partial 16S ribosomal RNA". It matches the Rfam family "Bacterial small subunit ribosomal RNA", at positions 505 to 775 of the family's 1533-position model. Lineage: Bacteria; Bacillati; Bacillota; Bacilli; Caryophanales; Staphylococcaceae. The record is from RNAcentral.
GUGCCAGCAGCCGCGGUAAUACGUAGGUGGCAAGCGUUAUCCGGAAUUAUUGGGCGUAAAGCGCGCGUAGGCGGUUUUUUAAGUCUGAUGUGAAAGCCCACGGCUCAACCGUGGAGGGUCAUUGGAAACUGGAAAACUUGAGUGCAGAAGAGGAAAGUGGAAUUCCAUGUGUAGCGGUGAAAUGCGCAGAGAUAUGGAGGAACACCAGUGGCGAAGGCGACUUUCNUGGUCUGUAACUGACGCUGAUGUGCGAAAGCGUGGGGAUCAAACAG